CGCCGAUGCUGAACGUGCAGGAUGAGAACCUGCUGCAGGUUCGACUGAAUCGCCGGGAGCGAUUCAGGCUGAUGCGCCAGCAUCACCCGCAGGGCGAGGCCCCCGGAUGGGCCGAGGCAUAUCCUGCACGACCCACCA
This 138-nucleotide small RNA is filed under the name Pantoea sp. B_10. RNAcentral's name for it is "RtT sRNA". It matches the Rfam family "RtT RNA". Rfam says of the family: This family represents a bacterial cis-regulatory element known as RtT RNA. The record is from RNAcentral. RNAcentral also lists the same sequence under 1 other name. Lineage: Bacteria; Pseudomonadati; Pseudomonadota; Gammaproteobacteria; Enterobacterales; Erwiniaceae.